This 547-nucleotide ribosomal RNA is filed under the name uncultured bacterium. RNAcentral's name for it is "bacterial SSU rRNA". It matches the Rfam family "Bacterial small subunit ribosomal RNA", at positions 355 to 896 of the family's 1533-position model. The record is from RNAcentral.
UGGGGAAUAUUGCGCAAUGGGGGGAACCCUGACGCAGCCAUGCCGCGUGAAUGAAGAAGGCCUUAGGGUUGUAAAGUUCUUUCGGUAUUGAGGAAGGUUGAUGUGUUAAUAGCACAUCAAAUUGACGUUAAAUACAGAAGAAGCACCGGCUAACUCCGUGCCAGCAGCCGCGGUAAUACGGAGGGUGCGAGCGUUAAUCGGAAUAACUGGGCGUAAAGGGCACGCAGGCGGUUAUUUAAGUGAGGUGUGAAAGCCCCGGGCUUAACCCGGGAAUUGCAUUUCAGACUGGGUAACUAGAGUACUUUAGGGAGGGGUAGAAUUCCACGUGUAGCGGUGAAAUGCGUAGAGAUGUGGAGGAAUACCGAAGGCGAAGGCAGCCCCUUGGGAAUGUACUGACGCUCAUGUGCGAAAGCGUGGGGAGCAAACAGGAUUAGAUACCCUGGUAGUCCACGCUGUAAACGCUGUCGAUUUGGGGGUUGGGGUUUAACUCUGGCGCCCGUAGCUAACGUGAUAAAUCGACCGCCUGGGGAGUACGGCCGCAAGGUUA